GCCCUAGUAGCUUAGCCACUAAAU
Molecule: transfer RNA, 24 nt
Filed under: Clarias batrachus (walking catfish)
Lineage: Eukaryota; Metazoa; Chordata; Actinopteri; Siluriformes; Clariidae
Description: partial tRNA-Thr
Source: RNAcentral